CACCGCGGUCAUACGAGUGGCCCAAGUGGACAGCCAACGGCGUAAAGCGUGGUUAAGGACCCCCCCCCCGAUUAAAGCAGAACCCCCUCAAGGCCGUCAUACGCAUCCGACAGGGUGAAGCCCCACCUCGAAAGUGACUUUACCCCCCCCCCGAACCCACGACAGCUAUGGCA
RNAcentral lists this ribosomal RNA (173 nucleotides) under Nansenia boreacrassicauda. Its description in RNAcentral is "partial 12S rRNA". The record is from RNAcentral. Lineage: Eukaryota; Metazoa; Chordata; Actinopteri; Argentiniformes; Microstomatidae.